UGAAAACAAAACAAACACAGGCGAUGAUGAUGAAAGGUUACAAUCCAAACAAAUUUGCUACAGUAAAUCAACUAUUGAAUUCCCCUGAUGAGCUAUUUCAUGGGCCAGAUCCAGGAUUUGAAUUUGGGCUGCAGAAAAUGUAUCUUCAUUGAUCAAAAUCACAUAGAUGAAGAAUAAAGACCCACUUGCUUAUGUGUAUUUCAGAAUUUAUAUCAGGAGUGGAGACCCGUGAAAAUAUUU
RNAcentral lists this long non-coding RNA (240 nucleotides) under Mustela putorius furo (domestic ferret). RNAcentral describes it as "lncRNA (ENSMPUG00000027244.1)". Lineage: Eukaryota; Metazoa; Chordata; Mammalia; Carnivora; Mustelidae. The record is from RNAcentral.